GAUGAAUUCCUUGUCCCAAGGUUGUACUAAACUAGGAAAUGGUAGAGUUCAGAUUAGAACCCAGGGGAUCUCACUCCAGGUCUGGCAUCUUAAGUACAAAGUUACACUGCCUCUCUGGUUCCUAUGAGAUAACGUUCUUAAAUUAGAUAGCAGGAGAGACAUGACUUAAUUACUGAGACUACUUUGGAGCCAAACGGAAAAUUAUACUACCACUUACUCAGAUGCCAGGGUAAUUAGAGCCCAAUUAUUUCUCUCAUUU
RNAcentral lists this long non-coding RNA (259 nucleotides) under Homo sapiens (human). Its description in RNAcentral is "HSALNT0056238". Lineage: Eukaryota; Metazoa; Chordata; Mammalia; Primates; Hominidae. The record is from RNAcentral.